GUACACACCGCCCGUCAAGCCAUGGGAGCCGGGAGUGCCUGAAGGCCGUGACCGCAAGGAGCGGCCUAAGGUAAAACUGGUGACUGGGGCUAAGUCGUAACAAGGUACC
RNAcentral lists this ribosomal RNA (109 nucleotides) under uncultured bacterium. RNAcentral's name for it is "partial 16S ribosomal RNA". It matches the Rfam family "Bacterial small subunit ribosomal RNA", at positions 1383 to 1500 of the family's 1533-position model. The record is from RNAcentral.